GGGCAAGUGGUGGAAUGGUAUACACGACAGACUUAAAAUCUGUUGGCCUUAACGGCCUUGAGGGUUCGAGUCCCUCCUUGCCCACCA
RNAcentral lists this transfer RNA (87 nucleotides) under Candidatus Saccharimonadota bacterium. RNAcentral's name for it is "tRNA-Leu". It matches the Rfam family "tRNA". Rfam says of the family: Transfer RNA (tRNA) molecules are approximately 80 nucleotides in length. The record is from RNAcentral. Lineage: Bacteria; Candidatus Saccharimonadota.